GAACGGUUUGAGGGUGUGCUGGCCUCAUACGGGGCAUGUGCACGCCUGGCUCAUCCACUCUUCAACCUCUGUGCACUUAUUGUAGAUCGGUGACAAGGUCGAGUUCUUUCACGAGUUCUUGACUGGAAAAACUUUCCACGGUUUUACCACAAACGCCUUCAAGUAAAGAAUGGUUAACCGCGUAUAACCCAUCCUUAUACCACUUUCAGCAACGGAUCUCCUGGCUCCCGCCUCGAUGAAGAACGCCAGGAAAGGCCAUAAGUAAAGGGAAUUGCAGAAAUCGGGGAAACAUACUAUCUUUGAACGCCCCCUGGGCCCCCUGGUAUUCCGGGGAACAUGGCUGGUUGAGUGGCCUGGGAUUCACCACUCUUAAUACUUUUUUGGAUCAAGAGCUUGGACCUGGAGGCUUGGACUGGCUUGGCUCGAUCUGACGCGUCCNGUCGGAAAAGCACUUAGCAGGAGGAUUUAUAUGGAACGCCUCGGGGUGAAAAUUAACCUGCGCCGUAGUCUUAAAGUACUUGAAACCGUUUACCCUUCUAAUCGCCCUUGCCGGGACCAAGUAAACCCUGACUUUUUGACCUCAAAUCAGGGAGGACUAGCCGGG
Molecule: ribosomal RNA, 604 nt
Filed under: Phlebiopsis gigantea
Lineage: Eukaryota; Fungi; Basidiomycota; Agaricomycetes; Polyporales; Phanerochaetaceae
Description: eukaryotic LSU rRNA
Rfam family: 5.8S ribosomal RNA (bases 201-354)
Source: RNAcentral